This is a non-coding RNA of Picea glauca (white spruce), 117 nucleotides long. The record is from Rfam. NCBI's taxonomy places the organism in Eukaryota, Viridiplantae, Streptophyta, Pinopsida, Pinales, Pinaceae.
UGCCUACAACAUAGCGUUAAUGCACCAUAUCCCAUUAGAACUCCGCAGUUAAACACGCUCGAGCUAGAGUAGUAUUGGGAUGGGUGACCGCCCGAGAAGUCCUAGUAUUUUAAAUGC